This 405-nucleotide ribosomal RNA is filed under the name uncultured bacterium. RNAcentral's name for it is "bacterial SSU rRNA". It matches the Rfam family "Bacterial small subunit ribosomal RNA", at positions 358 to 772 of the family's 1533-position model. The record is from RNAcentral.
GGAAUUUUUGGCAAUGGGCGAAAGCCUGACCAAGCAACGCCGCGUGGAUGAUGAAGUAUCUCGGUACGUAAAAUCCUUUCGACGGGGACGAAGCCGCAAGGUUGACGGUACCCGGAGAUGAAGCCCCGGCUCACUCCGUGCCAGCAGCCGCGGGAAUACGGGGGGGGCAAGCGUUGUUCGGAAUUACUGGGCGUAAAGGGCGCGUAGGCGGCUCACUAAGUCGGGUGUGAAAACUCUGGGCUCAACCCAGAGCCUGCACUCGAAACUGACGAGCUAGAGUUCUGGAGGGGAAAGCGGAAUUCCUGGUGUAGCGGUGAAAUGCGUAGAUAUCAGGAGGAACACCGGUGGCGAAGGCGGCUUUCUGGACAGAAACUGACGCUGAGGCGCGAAAGCUAGGGGAGCAAA